CCCUUAGAUGUCCGGGGCCGCACGCGCGCUACACUGAAGGAAUCAGCGUGGUUUUCUCCCUGACCCGAAAGGGUUGGGAAACCCGUUGAAUCUCCUUCGUGAUAGGGAUUGGGGCUUGAAAUUGUUCCCCAUGAACGAGGAAUGCCUAGUAAGCGUGAUUCAUCAAAUCGCGUUGAUUACGUCCCUGCCCUUUGUACACACCGCCCGUCGCUCCUACCGAUUGAAUGUGUUGGUGAGGAGCUCGGAUUGGCAGCAGUUGGUGGUUCGCCACCGGCUAUUGCUGAGAAGUCCUCCAAACCGCCCCAUUUAGAGGAAGGAGAAGUCGUAACA
Molecule: ribosomal RNA, 330 nt
Filed under: uncultured eukaryote
Lineage: Eukaryota
Description: partial 18S ribosomal RNA
Rfam family: Eukaryotic small subunit ribosomal RNA
Source: RNAcentral